RNAcentral lists this ribosomal RNA (253 nucleotides) under uncultured bacterium. Its description in RNAcentral is "partial 16S ribosomal RNA". It matches the Rfam family "Bacterial small subunit ribosomal RNA", at positions 524 to 776 of the family's 1533-position model. The record is from RNAcentral.
UACGUAGGGUGCAAGCGUUGUCCGGAAUUAUUGGGCGUAAAGAGCUCGUAGGCGGCUUGUUGCGUCGACUGUGAAAACCCGCGGCUUAACUGCGGGCUUGCAGUUGAUACGGGCAGGCUAGAGUUCGGUAGGGGAGACUGGAAUUCCUGGUGUAGCGGUGAAAUGCGCAGAUAUCAGGAGGAACACCGGUGGCGAAGGCGGGUCUCUGGGCCGAUACUGACGCUGAGGAGCGAAAGCGUGGGGAGCAAACGGG